Molecule: non-coding RNA, 73 nt
Organism: Pelobates cultripes (western spadefoot toad)
Lineage: Eukaryota; Metazoa; Chordata; Amphibia; Anura; Pelobatidae
Source: the annotation of a GenBank genome assembly
UUUGUGUGUGUGUGGGGUCAGUCUGUGUAUGUAUGGGUCAUACAUACACAGACUGACCCCACACACACAGACU